CACACUGGACUGAGACACGGUCCAGACUCCUACGGGAGGCAGCAGUGGGGAAUAUUGCACAAUGGGCGCAAGCCUGAUGCAGCCAUGCCGCGUGUGUGAAGAAGGCCUUCGGGUUGUAAAGCACUUUCAGUCGUGAGGAAGGUAGUGUAGUUAAUAGCUGCAUUAUUUGACGUUAGCGACAGAAGAAGCACCGGCUAACUCCGUGCCAGCAGCCGCGGUAAUACGGAGGGUGCGAGCGUUAAUCGGAAUUACUGGGCGUAAAGCGCAUGCAGGUGGUUUGUUAAGUCAGAUGUGAAAGCCCGGGGCUCAACCUCGGAAUAGCAUUUGAAACUGGCAGACUAGAGUACUGUAGAGGGGGGUAGAAUUUCAGGUGUAGCGGUGAAAUGCGUAGAGAUCUGAAGGAAUACCGGUGGCGAAGGCGGCCCCCUGGACAGAUACUGACACUCAGAUGCGAAAGCGUGGGGAGCAAACAGGAUUAGAUACCCUGGUAGUCCACGCCGUAAACGAUGUCUACUUGGAGGUUGUGGCCUUGAGCCGUGGCUUUCGGAGCUAACGCGUUAAGUAGACCGCCUGGGGAGUACGGUCGCAAGAUUAAAACUCAAAUGAAUUGACGGGGGCCCGCACAAGCGGUGGAGCAUGUGGUUUAAUUCGAUGCAACGCGAAGAACCUUACCUACUCUUGACAUCCAGAGAACUUUCCAGAGAUGGAUUGGUGCCUUCGGGAACUCUGAGACAGGUGCUGCAUGGCUGU
RNAcentral lists this ribosomal RNA (750 nucleotides) under Vibrio sp. a259. RNAcentral's name for it is "bacterial SSU rRNA". It matches the Rfam family "Bacterial small subunit ribosomal RNA", at positions 309 to 1052 of the family's 1533-position model. Lineage: Bacteria; Pseudomonadati; Pseudomonadota; Gammaproteobacteria; Vibrionales; Vibrionaceae. The record is from RNAcentral.